UUUUAUAGAAUCGACGGACUGUGGCUUCUGUUAAGAAUGAGCCUCCUCCAAGAGAUAAUAGAGUGGUUGGUUCUGCACGUGCACGGCCUAGUCAACUUCCUGAACAGUCUUCCUCUGCACAACAGAAUGGUAGUGUUUCAGAUAUAUCUCCAGUUCAAGCUGCAAAAAAGGAAUUUGGACCCCCUUCACGCAGAAAAUCUAAUUGUGUGAAGGAAGUAGAAAAAUUGCAAGAAAAACGAGAAAAGAGAAGACUGCAACAGCAGGAACUUAGAGAAAAAAGAGCCCAGGAUGUUGAUGCUACAAACCCAAAUUAUGAAAUUAUGUGUAUGAUCAGAGACUUUAGAGGAAGUUUGGAUUAUAGACCAUUAACAACAGCAGAUCCUAUUGAUGAACAUAGAAUAUGUGUUUGUGUAAGAAAACGACCACUGAAUAAAAAAG
Long non-coding RNA from Galeopterus variegatus (Sunda flying lemur), 438 nucleotides. RefSeq lists it as uncharacterized. Lineage: Eukaryota; Metazoa; Chordata; Mammalia; Dermoptera; Cynocephalidae. The record is from RefSeq and is a predicted model, not a curated record. The transcript is spliced from 5 exons.